GACGAACGCUGGCGGCGUGCUUAACACAUGCAAGUCGAACGGAAAGGCCCUGCUUUUGUGGGGUGCUCGAGUGGCGAACGGGUGAGUAACACGUGAGUAACCUGCCCUUGACUUUGGGAUAACUUCAGGAAACUGGGGCUAAUACCGGAUAGGAGCUCCUGCUGCAUGGUGGGGGUUGGAAAGUUUCGGCGGUUGUGGAUGGACUCGCGGCUUAUCAGCUUGUUGGUGGGGUAGUGGCUUACCAAGGCUUUGACGGGUAGCCGGCCUGAGAGGGUGACCGGCCACAUUGGGACUGAGAUACGGCCCAGACUCCUACGGGAGGCAGCGGGGGAGAAUAUUGCACAAUGGGCGGAAGCCUGAGGCAGCAGCGCCGCGUGCGGGAUGACGGCCUUCGGGUUGUAAACCGCUUUCGCCUGUGACGAAGCGUGAGUGACGGUAAUGGGUAAAGAAGCACCGGCUAACUACGUG
This 468-nucleotide ribosomal RNA is filed under the name uncultured bacterium. RNAcentral describes it as "partial 16S ribosomal RNA". It matches the Rfam family "Bacterial small subunit ribosomal RNA", at positions 28 to 507 of the family's 1533-position model. The record is from RNAcentral.